RNAcentral lists this ribosomal RNA (484 nucleotides) under uncultured bacterium. RNAcentral's name for it is "partial 16S ribosomal RNA". It matches the Rfam family "Bacterial small subunit ribosomal RNA", at positions 29 to 507 of the family's 1533-position model. The record is from RNAcentral.
AUUGAACGCUGGCGGCAUGCUUUACACAUGCAGGUCGAACGGCAGCGCGGGCUUCGGCCUGGCGGCGAGUGGCGAACGGGUGAGUAAUACAUCGGAACGUGCCCAGUAGUGGGGGAUAGCUCGGCGAAAGCCGGAUUAAUACCGCAUACGACCUGAGGGUGAAAGCGGGGGAUCUUCGGACCUCGCGCUAUUGGAGCGGCCGAUGGCAGAUUAGCUAGUUGGUGGGGUAAAGGCCUACCAAGGCGACGAUCUGUAGCUGGUCUGAGAGGACGACCAGCCACACUGGGACUGAGACACGGCCCAGACUCCUGCGGGAGGCAGCAGUGGGGAAUUUUGGACAAUGGGCGAAAGCCUGAUCCAGCAAUGCCGCGUGUGUGAUGAAGGCCUUCGGGUUGUAAAGCACUUUUGGCGGGAACGAAAAGGACUGUGCCAAUACCACGGUUCGAUGACGGUACCCGCAGAAUAAGCACCGGCUAACUACGUG